This 2331-nucleotide unclassified non-coding RNA is filed under the name Leishmania donovani. Its description in RNAcentral is "gene:LdHU3.36.1530(CDS-product:hypothetical_prote in_conserved)". Lineage: Eukaryota; Euglenozoa; Kinetoplastea; Trypanosomatida; Trypanosomatidae. The record is from RNAcentral.
ACCUACGGCGCACCGCACAUCUCUCCUCUCCGGGAGGCGCAAGGUCUGCCUAAAAAGGUGGCGAUCAACUCCCGCUAGGCAGUGAAGGGGUGGAGGAGAGACAUACGGCCCUCGUCGGCGGCUCGCACGCGCACGCACGCCCUCAGCUGCAAUGAGGUACUGGCGCUCACGCCGUGAGCGAGGAGGCCGAUGGGAUGGCUUCUCGCUAUUGCUCGUCGUGGGGGCGCUGCUGCUACUGUCAGUGAGUGUGAAAGGCGGGAUGGCGCAAACAGGCAGACACGGCGACGGAGCCGUCGGACCGUUUGGCCCGCUAGCGCAUGCUUUUACGACGAUGCAGUCGUACCAUCGUCAUAUGACGCUCAGCUCAAACCCUGUCGUCGUGUUCGUCUUUGACCAUCAAGGCUCCGCGGUGACGAACUUCUGGGCUCCACUGAUGCAGAGCGUCUCGAAGGGGUUCGAUGCGUUUGGGAUUGAGGUAGCGCACGCGCCCACGUCGUCGGAAAUCGGGCAACAGCUGCUAGGAGCCAUGAACGCCGGCAGUGGUGGUCCGAUCAUCCUAUUCUUCCAAGGCGUCGGCGACACGCCGGCUGAGGGCGGCAAGGCAUUGAAAAUGCCCAUUGCGUAUGAGGGCAACAUCGAUAUAGCGCACAUCAUGUCGUGGGGUCUGUCAUGCAUCUCCUCUUCGGUCACGCAUCGCGUGCACAACGACGUCGAUCUCGCCCGCUUCUUCGCUCAGUACCCUCAGUACCCCACGCUCCCGCAUGUGCUGUACUUUCCCUCCACGAGCUACACCCCGGGCGGCUACCUCGCCCUCAGUCAACACUUUGCCCUCGAUGCUGUGUUCGGCGUCGUGCCGAACGCGUUCGCCGCACCUAACGCGACUCUCAUUGCACAGCGGUACAACAUCACUAGCAAAGAUGAACUACCCGUCCUGCUGGUGCUUCACAGGGCCGCAGCGGACGAUGGCGGCGGCGCCGGUGAGUCAGACCGCGUAGUCCGAAUGCCGGCGACGGCCACCUCGCUCUCCUAUCGGGAGGCGCUGGCGUUUCUGUCGACGCACAUCACGGACACUGUCGCCGCGCUCGUGGCGAAGGCAGAGUCUACGCAAAAUCAGCACUUCCUCGAAGUAGCAGAAAGCCGCCGCGUGUACAUGAUGGGACAGCUGAUUGAGCGGCAGCUUGAUAUUGCGGAGGAGGAGCGACUUCAGAUGGCACGUGAGCCGAUUCUUGUGAAGGACCAAGCUGCCUGGACGAAGGAGUGUGUGCAGCUGCCCAAGAAGCACCGCUGCCUCGCUGCCUUUGUCGACUCUGCGCAAGAUUCGGCGGCAAAGGACAACGCUGUAAAGGUACUUGCGCUUGUCUCCGUCAAGCUACUGGAAAUAAUGGGGCGUGAGGCGCAAAAGGUGUCGCUCGUCGUUGUCGACCGGCAAGGUAGCGAUGCCGUGCGCGAGUACUUUGAUGUGGGCCAUAACGGCUUCCCUGAUGUACUUUUCCUUUCCUUGGACCAUCCCGCUAAGUACUACAACUUUGUCGGCACCUUCUCCGCCGAGGGCGUGACGCAGUUUAUCGCGUCUCAUGACGCGCAGCUCACACACAAGGACGUGCGAGGCGGACAUACCUUUAUCCCGCGUAUGGUGCCGAAGCUGGAAGAGGCGGUAGCGGUGACUCGCGGCAGCGAUGAGGAUCAAGACGACUUGUAAGAUGGGCUUCUGCGAGGUGUCUUUCUAUUCUGUGUUUCUCCUCCGUCUCUCGCUCGCUGUUUUCCGUGAAGGCGACAGACGAGAAGGGCGGUAGCCGCGUUUGCUGCCCGGGUCGGGUAAGCGUCUCUUUUACUUCUCCCUCCACUCCCCUCCUCUACUCUCCCGCUCCCCGCUGCGGCUGAUGUGUGCCUGCCAGUGGUGGGGCGUAAAGCGCCGUGCAUUGGGGCUGGGCCGCUGUCUUUUUUCUUUUUGAAUGCCUUCUUUCUCCUCUCUCUCCUUCCUCCGUUGUCUCCCCGUCGUCUUCCCGCCGUGUGUUCAACACCGAGCGGAUGGUGCGUGGAAGGAAGCGGAAGGGAGAGAGGGAACGUGAGGGAGAUGCGUGUGAGGGGAUAUCGGCGAUGUGCCUAGAGUGGAGCGGAAGAGUAAACCCGAAGCAGACAAAUAUAGAGAGAGUGGAAAGGAAAACAGGGGGGGAUGAGGAUAGGGAAGAAGCUCCUGCAGCGACAGCACCAGCUCUCGAGUCUCGCUGCCGCAGAAACAAGAGUUUACGGGGGCAUAUCGCUCUCUUCUUCAGCGGAUGCCUCGGCGAGCUCUUUGUGCCCUCCCCUCCCUCCCCCCCAAAGCGGUUAGGG